Molecule: ribosomal RNA, 393 nt
Filed under: Triticum aestivum (bread wheat)
Lineage: Eukaryota; Viridiplantae; Streptophyta; Magnoliopsida; Poales; Poaceae
Description: partial small subunit ribosomal RNA
Source: RNAcentral
AUGGGGGCUGGCGGCUGGGGCUGGAGGAGGAAGGAGGAGAAGUGGGUGGGUGUGUGCCCUGGCCGCUUCCUCUGCUCACAAGCUUCCUUCCUCUGCUCACAUUGCCAUUUUGGAGGGGAAAGGUGUGUCCCCUGGCGGCUGGGGCUGGAGGAGGAAGGAGGAGUGGGUGGGUUGGGGUUGAGGGUUUGUGAUUUUCGUGGAUGGGGGCUGGGGCAUGUGCUGCGAUCAGGAGAAGAAAGCAACAGAGCUUUUUUGCUCCUGUACAGCGGGGCCUGGGCUUUCUUUUGUCUUUUUUCUGCUUUUUCUGUAAAGUAUGAACAAGCUUUUAGUCAAAAAGGCCCAACAAGGACAAUCAAAACAAACAACCAAAAAAGGCCCACAACCUACAAAUAA